UGAAGGGAGGAGCUCUAAGAACCAACUCCUCAGAGAAAUAAUUAGGACUCAUGAUAUCUUUGAAAUUUCUGGAAGUUGUCCUAAGGUUAUAUAGCAAAUGAGGAAAACUUUAUUAAAGAAAAUCUAUUAGAUCUCGAUAAGAACAGCAAGAGUCUAUGGCACAACCCCCUUCUCCCCUUCCCAUGUUGGCUUUAUGACAGAAGCUCUAAUCUGGGAAGGUAUCACCAAGAAAAUUGAGUUCUUUUUCCUCUCAACUCCCAGUAAAGGGAAAUGGAGGGGCAGGCCACCUGCACUUCUCAUCUCUCAGCUCAGUCUGUAGGUUCUUCGGGAUCUCGCAAAGCACCACCAGGAUAGAUAUCUCAAGCACGUCUGAAGAGCUCACGUUUCCUAAGUAAGACAGCAGCAGCAAGACGGCAAUCAUUUCUGUGGAGACAGUAUCAUCAUAAUGCAAUAUUAGCUACUGUGAUCUUCUAUCAUUUCCUUCCUGGAGAGUUAUGACUGUGGCAUUGAGGAUUUAAGACCUACAGCCCGAACACUACUUACUACAAAUCUCUCACAAAGCUGCUGCAAUAAAUCUCGUGGAGGAAAGUCAUUGCAUAAAAAAUCCCCAACUCCAGGGAGCUGGCCAUUUAUUUUCCUAGGAAAGAAGGGCUGUGAUGAGAGACACUCCAUGCUCCUUUAACUCCAUGGAACAGAACCCAACAAAGCAUUCAUCAUAGAAAGAAGAAGCUACCAGAAGACCCAUUAACUCAACUAUACCCUCUAGGAAGAAAAGGGCAUCUCUAGAACUGAGCACCCAUACUGCCCUCUGGUGUAGAGCUCCCAUAAAACAGGCAUGGACAUGCUUCCAUUCUUCCUGCACUGCCACCUGCCCUGGGAAGCUGACCUGUUUGGACCUCAUCAGAGGGUGCGGCUCUGACAGGAACCCAGUGAGAUGUCAAGCUGAGACAGCUGUUGCCAAACCUGGUGGAGGCAUUUCAGACAGCCGGGGACACAGCUGUUGCCUCAAACUUCAUGUGCAACAUCCUUCUCUUCUUUAAGGAGGGCGUUAUUGAGAGGACUAAAUAGGAUGAUAUAUGGAAACCAUCUAUGCAAAAAAAACACCUGCCAUUGUAAAGAAGUACAGUUAAUUCUGAUGGAGAGACCAUGUAGAGGGAGACCGUGGAAGAUGAGAGGCCAUGUGUUGAGGAACUGAGGUGUCCCAGCCAGUAGUUAACAUCCACUACCAGAUUCGAUGCUUUGGAGGAAGAAAGAGGAAGGAAGAAACUACAAAUUAUCUGCUUUAUUGGUGCUUUUUUCUCAGAUGCACUAGCUGGUCUGCACGCAAGAGCCUUUUAUCCUUCCUUCCACACAAUCCUUUUAACUGAAACCAAGUGGCCAAAGCUUAACUGUAAUUCUGCAGAACUGGCGGCAAGAGGCCUGGCUAUGGCUUGGGCCGCUCACCCCAAACGUGAUGUGCACAGAGAGUGGGGCUGACAUUGUUUAGCUCUCUGCUCAGCAGUGCCCAGCCAAGCCUCCCGGUCUAAAUUGAGCCCUUAAUCGUUUUCCUGGCAUUUGCUCAGACAGGAUUUUAUUUUCUAGUAAUAAAAGCUCCUACAUUGUAGGGGGAAAAAAAAAAAAAAAAACAAUCUGCCUUUUUUCCCUAGCUUUUGUGAAUGCUUCACCACCUGUCCUUUUUUCCCCCUUGUUUUUUGUGCUUGGGGCAGAGCCAGGUUGUUUUGUGCUUGCUGUCAAGUUUUGGGGAGCUCUUCAUGGACAGAGAAAUGUACUCACAUUGACUGUGCCUCUGCUUAUUACUGGCAGCUUCCCAUCUCAUGGACUGAGAGGUUUAAUCCUACAGGCUUGACUUUUGGGUCUGUGGGUGGCACAGGGAAGAGGGGCCCAGGAAAGGAGAAAUGAAAUGAGUCACCAAGGGCUUCCCACCUAAGAAACUCUUGAUGGCUCACCUCUUUCCUUCAAGAGUUUUCAGUGGCUUCCCAGUGCCUGCAGAAUCUAGUGCAUACUUUCUAAGAUGGUAUUCAGACCCACCUGCUUCCUCAGCCUCCUUUUUUUUCUUGGUGAAAAGGAAAAGAAAAAAAUAUAGAUACCUAAAAAAAAGUAAAAAUGAA
Molecule: long non-coding RNA, 2108 nt
Organism: Canis lupus familiaris (dog)
Lineage: Eukaryota; Metazoa; Chordata; Mammalia; Carnivora; Canidae
Exons: 9
Source: RefSeq, a predicted model, not a curated record